Molecule: signal recognition particle RNA, 265 nt
Filed under: Cerasibacillus terrae
Lineage: Bacteria; Bacillati; Bacillota; Bacilli; Caryophanales; Bacillaceae
Description: Bacterial large signal recognition particle RNA
Rfam family: Bacterial large signal recognition particle RNA
About the family: The signal recognition particle (SRP) is a universally conserved ribonucleoprotein involved in the co-translational targeting of proteins to membranes.
Source: Rfam by way of RNAcentral
CCGUGCUAAGUGGGGAGCUAGCGGCACCCUGUACUCGCAAUCCGCUAUAGCGAGGCUGAAUUCCCAAUCGAGGUGGUCAGAUUUAUGGUCUGCCUUAAGGGAUUGGUGUUGACGCUUAGGUCCUGCGCAACAGAAACCCAUGAAUCCUGUCAGGUCCGGAAGGAAGCAGCAGUAAGUGGUCAAUUCUGUGUGCCGUGGGGUUACCGGAGCCGAGCCAUGAACUUAAGUAACGCAUAGGUCUGUUCCAUCGACUGCGGGUGCACGG